UGGUGGGUAGUUUGACUGGGGCGGUCUCCUCCCAAAGAGUAACGGAGGAGCACGAAGGUGGGCUAAUCACGGUUGGACAUCGUGAGGUUAGUGCAAUGGCAUAAGCCCGCUUGACUGCGAGAAUGACAAUUCGAGCAGGUGCGAAAGCAGGUCAUAGUGAUCCGGUGGUUCUGAAUGGAAGGGCCAUCGCUCAACGGAUAAAAGGUACUCCGGGGAUAACAGGCUGAUACCGCCCAAGAGUUCAUAUCGACGGCGGUGUUUGGCACCUCGAUGUCGGCUCAUCACAUCCUGGGGCUGAAGUCGGUCCCAAGGGUAUGGCUGUUCGCCAUUUAAAGUGGUACGCGAGCUGGGUUUAGAACGUCGUGAGACAGUUCGGUCCCUAUCUGCCGUGGGCGUUGGAAGAUUGAAGGGGGCUGCUCCUAGUACGAGAGGACCGGAGUGGACGAACCUCUGGUGUUCGG
RNAcentral lists this ribosomal RNA (461 nucleotides) under Vibrio parahaemolyticus. RNAcentral's name for it is "partial 23S ribosomal RNA". It matches the Rfam family "Bacterial large subunit ribosomal RNA", at positions 2259 to 2719 of the family's 2925-position model. Lineage: Bacteria; Pseudomonadati; Pseudomonadota; Gammaproteobacteria; Vibrionales; Vibrionaceae. The record is from RNAcentral.